Pimephales promelas (fathead minnow) is the source of this 141-nucleotide long non-coding RNA. RefSeq lists it as uncharacterized. NCBI's taxonomy places the organism in Eukaryota, Metazoa, Chordata, Actinopteri, Cypriniformes, Leuciscidae. The record is from RefSeq and is a predicted model, not a curated record.
CUUUUUUCUUUUAGGAUUAUGAACAUGCAUGCAAAGUUUUCCAAAUCUGAUAUAUUGUAAAAGGUGUCUGAAACAGAAAGCCAACAGUGCAACUGCAGCCAGGAAGACCAAACCAAUGCAAUCCCAACAUGUUCUAGUCAA